AUGGCCGGCGUCGAGUGUGUCUGCCCUGGCAAACGAAAGGCGGGAUCUUUUUCCGGCGAGGAGUGUUCCCCGAAGGCCAAGAGGAUGGUCGGCUGUUCCCGAGGAGAGGAGGAGAUUCCGGCGGCGAAGAAGAUGUGGCGGCUGCCGCGGGAGGAGGUCGACCGGAUCGUCGACUGGUCGCCGUACGUCCCUCCCGCCGUGUACCGAGACCUGAAGCGCGACAACCCGUCGCUUCUGCCAUCGCCGGAGGAGGAGAAGGACGAGCGCACGGUGCUCCUCUACCGGCACGCGCGCGAGUGCUACGAGCAUCUGGAUAGGUUCGCCGGCUUCCAGGCCAGGGUCCGCCGCGAGUACGCCUCCAAAGGAUUCGUGGAGGUCGACUACGACUGCGUCGGCGCCGAGGCCCAGGCGCGGAGGCGGAUCGACCAGGCACGUGGUGAGGCUUUCAGAGCCAUCGUUGCUCAUCUAAAAUCAGAGGUCGUCGUCGACGCCGACACGUUCCAGCAACUCGAAAGGAAAAUGAUGGACGGUUUCUGA
Molecule: ribosomal RNA, 537 nt
Filed under: Triticum aestivum (bread wheat)
Lineage: Eukaryota; Viridiplantae; Streptophyta; Magnoliopsida; Poales; Poaceae
Description: partial small subunit ribosomal RNA
Source: RNAcentral